Molecule: long non-coding RNA, 1164 nt
Organism: Dalotia coriaria
Lineage: Eukaryota; Metazoa; Arthropoda; Insecta; Coleoptera; Staphylinidae
Exons: 3
Source: RefSeq, a predicted model, not a curated record
GUGAGUGUGAGUGCAUAUCGCGCGCUGCAUAUUCCCCACUCUCGUGCAUCGUUCUAUGGAAAACACAAAUACAGAAUCGUUUCUAUAAAGUUUCAUCCGUAAAAUUUGAGCGUGAUGACUAAGCAGCUACAAGUUUGUUUGCUGUUACUAUAGUAACCCCGUCGGUUGCUAAUAGCAACGGGUGUGGGGUGAUUGUAGGUGCAAGUCGCACGCUGAAUCACGCUGCUCAUCACUCCACAAAUAUCUCUCCUAAAACAACUCUAAAAACUACCCACAAUAUUUUAAACUUACAUAAUUUUAAUUACAACCUUGUCACUGCUCGCAAUAUAUCCUUAAAUCGUAUCAAAACGCGUUUACUUUACCUUUCACGCAUCGAAGGUCACGCCGAUCAUGCGAAAAUCAUGAGAAAAUGAAGAAAUUACCACAAUUCAUGAAUUUGUUUCGUAUGUGAUCGCGAUUGUAUCCAUGGCAACAGAGUGGACAUUUUCGCAUUCCUGACAAGGCAAUACAUAAUUUAGUUCUAUAUGGCGUUAGUGUCACUUUCAUCAACGUCAAAACGUGAAAUCAAUUUAUUAUGCUUUUAUUAAGUUAUAAUCUAGUGUUGCACAAUAUCCAGCCGCCAUGUUUGAUUUAAUAUCUUUCACUAGAUUUACGAGUUUGAUGAAUGUGAUUUCCGCUCGUCAAAAGUCGAAACCGUGACACUGCGAUCGUAAACACAUGAUUUAUUCAUGUUCUAGGCCAUUUUUGAUUUGAUCCGAUCGAAAAAUCAAAGGUAGAUUUUUUAUUACGAUUUUUUUUUAGUUUAUAUUGAAUGUAUUAGAUUGAAUUGAAAGCGAAGCAUUCCAAGAUUAAUCAUUGUGAUAGACGUUCAUUCAACAUUAAUUACAAGGCGUAUUACCAUCUUGUUUGAGUUCAGUGUAACAAGAGAACAGAAGCUUUGGGAGUGAUUGAUAUGUCUGGAUAUUAAUGGAAUCGUUAAAAUGUAAAAACGAAAGUAAAUAUUUUGGUUUUUGUGGGGAGUACGGGAGAGUGCGGUGAGUUUGGUGCUUGAUUACUCAUUUGUUUAUAAUCGUAGAGUAUUGAAUGUGGUAUGGUUGGAAAGGGAAUUUAAAGGGGAAUAAUUAUGCGAAAGGAUUAAUUUGUAGGUUUGUUAGUUUUUAUUUU